RNAcentral lists this ribosomal RNA (487 nucleotides) under uncultured bacterium. Its description in RNAcentral is "partial 16S ribosomal RNA". It matches the Rfam family "Bacterial small subunit ribosomal RNA", at positions 28 to 507 of the family's 1533-position model. The record is from RNAcentral.
GAUGAACGCUAGCGAUAGGCUUAACACAUGCCAGUCGAGGGGCAGCACAAGGUAGCUUGCUAUCUGGGUGGCGACCGGCGCACGGGUGCGUAACGCGUAUGCAACUUGCCCUAUACAGGAGGAUAACCCGUCGAAAGACGGACUAAUACUGCGAAUGCUCACAACUUGGCAUCAAGUGGUGAGGAAAGAAAUUCGGUAUAGGAUAGGCAUGCGUCCCAUUAGCUUGUUGGUGAGGUAACGGCUCACCAAGGCAACGAUGGGUAGGGGAACUGAGAGGUUUAUCCCCCACACUGGUACCGAGACACGGACCAGACUCCUACGGGAGGCAGCAGUGAGGAAUAUUAGUCAAUGGGCGCGAGCCUGAACCAGCCAAGUCGCGUGAAGGAUGACUGUCUUAUGGAUUGUAAACUUCUUUUAUACGGGAAAAACAAGAGUCACGUGUGACUCCCUGCAUGUACCGUAUGAAUAAGCAUCGGCUAACUACGUG